CAAGAUACUAGGAUAAGUAAUCUUCUAGCUUUGGGGGUUAGAGAUCUCUUUUAGAGGGUCUUGA
RNAcentral lists this transfer RNA (64 nucleotides) under Fulvia mutica. RNAcentral's name for it is "tRNA-Pro". The record is from RNAcentral. Lineage: Eukaryota; Metazoa; Mollusca; Bivalvia; Cardiida; Cardiidae.